GUCUAUGGCCAUACCAUGCCUGAUCUUGUCUGAACAUGCCUGAUCUUGUCUGAUCUCAGAAGCUAAGCAGGGGCGGGCCUGGUUAGUACUUGGAUGGGAGACCACCUGGGAAGACUGGAUGCUGUAGACA
This 130-nucleotide ribosomal RNA is filed under the name Pteropus alecto (black flying fox). Lineage: Eukaryota; Metazoa; Chordata; Mammalia; Chiroptera; Pteropodidae. The record is from RNAcentral.